RNAcentral lists this ribosomal RNA (279 nucleotides) under uncultured bacterium. RNAcentral describes it as "partial 16S ribosomal RNA". It matches the Rfam family "Archaeal small subunit ribosomal RNA", at positions 456 to 735 of the family's 1478-position model. The record is from RNAcentral.
UGCCAGCAGCCGCGGUAAAACCAGCACCUCAAGUGGUCAGGAUGAUUAUUGGGCCUAAAGCAUCCGUAGCCGGCGCUAUAAGUUUUCGGUUAAAUCUGUACGCUCAACGUACAGGCUGCCGGGAAUACUGUAGCGCUAGGGAGUGGGAGAGGUAGACGGUACUCGGUAGGAAGUGGUAAAAUGCUUUGAUCUAUCGAUGACCACCUGUGGCGAAGGCGGUCUACCAGAACACGUCUGACGCUGAGGUGCGAAAGCGUGGGUAGCAAACAGGAUUAGAUA